UACGUAGGGGGCGAGCGUUGUCCGGAAUCAUUGGGCGUAAAGCGCGUGUAGGCGGCCCGGUAAGUCCGCUGUGAGAGUCCAGGGCUCAACCCUGGGAUGCCGGUGGAUACUGUCGGGCUCGAGUCCGGAAGAGGCGAGUGGAAUUCCUGGUGUAGCGGUGAAAUGCGCAGAUAUCAGGAGGAACACCAAUGGCGAAGGCAGCUCGCUGGGACGUGACUGACGCUGAGACGCGAAAGCGUGGGGAGCAAACAGG
Molecule: ribosomal RNA, 253 nt
Filed under: uncultured bacterium
Lineage: Bacteria
Description: partial 16S ribosomal RNA
Rfam family: Bacterial small subunit ribosomal RNA
Source: RNAcentral